GGAUGCUUUCCAUCUAAGGGUUAGAGUGCAUCCUUUCCAUGUUCUCCGUAUCAACAAGAUGCUUUCGUGUGCUGGUGCCGAUAGGCUCCAAACUGGAAUGAGAGGUGCUUUUGGUAAGCCCCUAGGAACGUGUGCUAGGGUGAGCAUUGGCCAGGUCCUUCUGUCUGUCCGCUGUAAGGAUAACAAUGGGAAUAAUGCCCAGGAAGCUCUACGCCGUGCCAAAUUCAAGUUCCCAGGACGGCAAAAGAUCAUCGUCAGCCGAAAAUGGGGUUUCACCAAGUUUGGCCGGGCUGACUACCAACUAUGGAAACAGCAGAACCGUAUCUUGCCAGAUGGUGUUAAUGCCAAGCUGCUCGGUUGCCAUGGACCACUCGCCAAUCGGCAGCCUGGUCGGGCGUUCAUCGAUGCUGUUGCUAAGUAGGCUUGUUUUGGUUGGCGGGAUGAUGCCUUGCUGCUUCUGUUGUUGGCUAUCAUCGAAUUAUUUUUUGAUAUUAUUCUUGGCAUCUCAUAUUGGAACAUUUGUUAGGCUCAGUUCACUAGGAUGAUUCUGUCUCGAGACCUUUCUUUUCAAUGCUUG
This 577-nucleotide unclassified non-coding RNA is filed under the name Hevea brasiliensis (rubber tree). The record is from RNAcentral. Lineage: Eukaryota; Viridiplantae; Streptophyta; Magnoliopsida; Malpighiales; Euphorbiaceae.